Molecule: ribosomal RNA, 936 nt
Filed under: Triticum aestivum (bread wheat)
Lineage: Eukaryota; Viridiplantae; Streptophyta; Magnoliopsida; Poales; Poaceae
Description: partial small subunit ribosomal RNA
Source: RNAcentral
AUGUGACAAAUAUAACAAAAAUCAUGUGGCAAUGUAUGGCAAAGAUAAUCGUCACAACCCAAACAACCCUUAAGUGCCAAGACCCCACCCACGUUGACACGCCACCCACCCGGAAAAUCCCCCAAUCGGUCCAUCACAUCACCGAGUUCACCAUCGCCGGCAGCCCACCCACCAGGUUGACCCCCACAAAACCCCAGCUCGAGCACCCGGAGCCAUGGCCCUCCUCGCCACGACCCCACUCCUCGCGCCCCUCGCGCUCUCCCCGGCCCCGAUCUCCGCCUCCCAGAGCUCCCUCCUCUUCCUGCGCGCCCCCGCCCCCGCCCUCCUCUCGCUCCGCUCCGCCUCCCCCGGCGCACGCCUCCUCGCGGCGGUCGCGUCCAAGGAGCCCGAGCUCGGCGGCGGCGGAUCCGAAGGCGGUGACGGUGCGGGAUCUGGGAGGGGAGGCGGCGGGGGAAGUGACCCGCAGGGAGGCGGGGACGAGGGGGAGGAGGGGAAGAUGGGGGACGGGCUCUCCAUGUCGCAGAAGCUCACCCUCGCCUACGCCGCGCUCGUCGGAGCUGGUGGAGUGAUGGGGUACAUGAAGAGUGGAAGCCAGAAGUCAUUGGCUGCAGGAGGCAUAUCAGCCCUGGUGCUGUUCUUCGUUCACACUCAACUCCCAGUGAGACCAGUCUUUGCGUCGGCGAUCGGGUUAGGUAUAUCAGCUGCACUGCUGUCAGUCAUGGGAUCUCGCUUCAAGAAGUCCGGAAAGAUAUUCCCAGCUGGCGUUGUGUCCCUUCUUUCCUUGGUCAUGGUUGGCGGCUACGCCCAUGGGAUUAUGCGUAGCUCGCAUGCGUGAGAUGCAGUCAGUGUAGUUACCAUAUGCACUUCGGGAGUUAGACUUUUGUUGUUCUAGUGAAGUGUGUAUGGGCUGAUGGUGGAAAUCAAUAAUUUUGGGAA